This 253-nucleotide ribosomal RNA is filed under the name uncultured bacterium. RNAcentral describes it as "partial 16S ribosomal RNA". It matches the Rfam family "Bacterial small subunit ribosomal RNA", at positions 524 to 776 of the family's 1533-position model. The record is from RNAcentral.
UACGUAGGGUGCAAGCGUUGUCCGGAAUUAUUGGGCGUAAAGAGCUCGUAGGCGGUUUGUCGCGUCUGCUGUGAAAACCCGCGGCUCAACUGCGGGCCUGCAGCCGAUACGGGCAGGCUAGAGUUCGGUAGGGGAGACUGGAAUUCCUGGUGUAGCGGUGAAAUGCGCAGAUAUCAGGAGGAACACCGGUGGCGAAGGCGGGUCUCUGGGCCGAUACUGACGCUGAGGAGCGAAAGCGUGGGGAGCGAACAGG